GACAGAGGGUGCAAACGUUGUUCGGAAUUACUGGGCGUAAAGCGUGUGUAGGCUGCCAUGCAAGUCGGAUGUGAAAGCCCUGGGCUCAACCCAGGAAGUGCACUCGAAACUGCGUGGCUUGAGUACUGGAGAGGUUGGUGGAAUUCUCGGUGUAGAGGUGAAAUUCGUAGAUAUCGAGAGGAACACCGGUGGCGAAGGCGGCCGACUGGACAGAUACUGACGCUGAGGCGCGAAAGCGUGGGGAGCAAACAGG
This 253-nucleotide ribosomal RNA is filed under the name uncultured bacterium. Its description in RNAcentral is "partial 16S ribosomal RNA". It matches the Rfam family "Bacterial small subunit ribosomal RNA", at positions 524 to 776 of the family's 1533-position model. The record is from RNAcentral.